Molecule: ribosomal RNA, 402 nt
Organism: Neotoma lepida (desert woodrat)
Lineage: Eukaryota; Metazoa; Chordata; Mammalia; Rodentia; Cricetidae
Rfam family: Eukaryotic large subunit ribosomal RNA
Source: Rfam
ACUCUGCAUCUGGGGGGAAGAGACAGGCAGGGACAAAGGGGAUCUAAUCAGGAGGGGAUCUCUCUGAAAAGGCUCUUGUUUCAAGUACUCUCAUCAUUUUUUCACUGAUCUGGUAAAGCAGCGGGGGGGGGUCCCUGAGGGGCUCUCACUUUUGGCGCCAAGUGCCAGUCUGUGCACACAGGCAGGCAGGUGCGACCUGCUCUGGGGACAGUGCCAGGUGGGGAGUUUGAUUAGGGAGGUACACCUGUCUAUGGUAAUGCAGGUGUCCUAAUGCAAGCUCAAGGAAGACAAAAAAACCUCCUGUGGCAAAAGAGCAAAAGCUUGAUCUUGAUUUCAGUUCGAAUACAGACUAUGAAAAAAGAGCCCUUUUAGACCAGGAUGAGUCCAGACAAGGCUUUUAAA